GUGCGCCUGUGCGCGCUACUGUCCUAGUUCGCCAUAACGGACCUUCCUCACGUCACCCCGCCUGACCCGGAAACCCUACGGCACACCGCCCCGCCGCGGUGCCGCCGCCUCCACUCCACGUCGCCCCACAGCGGGGCCAUCGCCACCCCGCCGACGCGUGCCGUUGAACCGCGACGCCCCGGAGACGGACUGCUGCCCGGCCGCGUCCUCGCCGACGCCGAUCCCAUCCCAUCCUGCCGCGCUGCUGCUGCUGCGGAAGCGCGCGCGGCAACUCAGGACGGAUGCCGGACGCCCCGCGACAAAGCCCUCCACCGACCCGUGGUCACUCUGCCCGCUUGCGUCCUCGCCGAUGUCGUCGCGCCCGACCCGUGCGAACACGCCCCUGCCCUCGACCGCGCCACCACCCUGGACACCGAAAACGACGCUCAACGCCCACGCAGAGUCUGCCAUCACAGACUCGCAAGAACUCAUCGAUUCCCGUAGGCCAGGUUCUGCAUUUCUCCUUUGUUCCACUGCUUCGUUAAGACUCGAUAGGGGAUUCUGUGCAGGAGCUCUUCACCACGUCACCGACCAAGUGCUCGACAGAUUGCCUCAGCCAGAUAUUUUAGGCACUAAAGCAUGUUUAUCUUUAGUGUAUGUGUAUGUGUGAGGGUCUGAAGCGCAGUGAAUCCACGUUACUUAAGGGCUAUCUACGAGAAUGCUGUUAUCUUGAUCUUGAAAAUUAAAGACCGCGAGGCAUUUGAGAGGAGCUUGUGCUAGCUAAAAGAAUUUUACAUCAAUACAUGGUUUGUCUCUCCUACAACUAUUGACAUCAUGAUCCAUCCUUGUCAAGCACAUAAGAUAGAGUGGCUUUCGCUGAGUAAAGUUUAUCCAAUGGCCUUUGGUUUGUGAGAAUUCAUGAAAGUGAUUUGAUUAAAUUUGCUUAAGUCUGAUGUUUAUACAAAGUGUUUAUCGAAUUGUUAAUUGUCUAAGUGAGGUUCUGAACUUCUGAUGCUAUUCACUCGUGAUCUGAAUUCUAAUUGUUAGUUGCAUCUGGGAACCCAUGUAUAAACAUGCAUGAUCCACUCUAGAUACGGUGAUGGUGGAACCGCUCUUCUAGCAGCAUGAUCGUGUUCCUUCCUGACAGAAUAUGAUCCUCAUGUCAGUCUAAGACUGACCAUAUUAAUUUUUGGUUUUUGCAUUCAGUUUGGUUUUGUUGCUCCAUAUCUGUCAUGGGGAUAAGAUGGGUAUUUCAUGAAGCUAAUAUCUCGAUAAAAUCAUUUAUAGUGCCUUAAGGGAACAACAAUGAAGUACAACAUGGUAGGAGACGAAUCAAAUUAAUCUUGUCUAGCCUCCAUAGUUAACAAGGAGCUCUGCGACUGCAACUGUUUUGUUUGUCCUGUCUUUAGAAAAGUCUCAGCUGCAGCCUGUCAAGUUUAGACAGUAGCUGAUAGUGACAAAGACCUGCAGCUAACCAAGUCGGGUGGUGGUUAUAUACUAUAAUACAGCUGCUAGCUCUUUGUUUAAGUGAUAGACCAAUUGCUCUUUUUUGUUCUUUUGAUGUUGGUUGCUGUAAAUAAAUUUGUUUCUAACAUGGUUUUAUUUGUUCUUCUGUUCAUGUGGCCGAUUCUGAUUGCUGGAAUGGUGGCGAAACUCAUCAGUGCCAGAUCCAAACAGCAUGCCUUAUAAUUUCGAGCCAUCUCUUUUAGUUAUCUCUGUCUUGUGCUACCUGCUAGAUCUAUACUAUAAUGCCUGCAAGUAUCAUCAACAGCUGUGUUUCUUAAUUGUGGGAUGAUGAAAAACCAUUCUUCCUCAUUGAUAUCUGUCAUAAUCUUAAAAGGAAAUUGCGCACACAUUUUUACCUCAGUUGAAACUUGCUUCGAUAUUAUUUUUUCCUAUUUAGAUGUAUAUAAUUGAUAUGUCUGGUGCCACUAUGAUAGUUCUUGGUUUCUUAUUGACAUGGCAUAAACUCCAUUUUUGUAAAAGAUAUUCUAGAGAAUAGCCAGUCCAAGGAGCACAAUUUAGGAAUUCUUCUGGUAAGUAAUGCAUUUCUUAUUGUUGGUACUUAAUGCUAAAAGUUUCAUUUUGGCUCACUGCAUACUGCUAGCUUUGUGACAUGUCUGACCUUAAAUUUUUUUUAUCACUCUUUACUACUCCAUUGGAGAAACAUGACAUUUAAUUUCUCUUAGUGACGAUGAAAUGUGAAAUGACACCUUUUAUUUUAUCCUUUUUUGAUAGGUCAAGUUUUUCAAUUUUUAUCGAUGCAAGUUGAACCAUUGGGAUGUCGGAAUAUCUUGCAACUCUAUUAGGACUUUUUUCUCAAAUAGAAAUAAAGCGUAAGCCAAUAAUUUACUAGAUGACUUAUACCAUAUAAAUCUGCUGUGCUACUGUCGUUGCCACAUUACUUAUGGUUUUGUUCAACCUGGUUUACACUUUACAUAUUACCCUUGCCACAUUAGUGUUUCGGAAUUAUGGGCUAAAACAAUGUAUGAAGAUCCACAACUAUCUAGCCUCUGAAGGUGUUCUCUCGAGCUCAGCCUGGGUACAUGCAAUAAACCUUACUGAAUCUGCCUGUAAGCUGUGAUGUUUUAGCUUGCUGAACCUAUAUUUUGGUAUGGUCUAUUUUUGACCAACUUUUAUCUCCACCCAAACAGUUAUAUAAGCAUUGUGACAACCAGUUUAGCAACUGAUUGCUAAGUUUUUUUGUUGUAAUCGAGCACGUGGUAGAUGUGUUUAUAUUGACUUCUGACAAAGCUUCUGAUGGUAGCUGAUGCUAUUACCUUAAUGCAGGGGCAAUAAGUUGGUGCAUUUGCAAAGGCACAAAUCCUAUUGCGGGCCUGAAAUCUAUCAGGCACACCUCUAGGCGAAUGGAGAACCUGGUUGCGCUCAGCUGGAAGGGAGAGUCCUUCAGAAAUCUUGGAGCUCGAGUUCACGACAAUGGCUGCUCUGAAGAAAAAUGAACCCUGUCUUCCAAAGUGCCUGAUAACCUUCUGGAAUCUUAACAUUAGCAAACAUGACUUGACAAUCAAGGAUGUUCUCUUAGAUAAAGAGUAGAGAGGGACUCCUUUGCUUGGUGGAUUUUAGGAUUUUGGAACUUUCUGCAGCAAGGUGCUCCAGUUUGUAUAUGCCUAUUUCUGUAAACCACAAGCUGUGCUAUAAUCUUUCUGAACGUCUGCAUUGGAGUAUAAGCAAUUGUGUAUCUAUGUGUGUAUUUUAAAAAAAAUAAUUUCUGUUGCAA
Molecule: long non-coding RNA, 3217 nt
Organism: Panicum virgatum (switchgrass)
Lineage: Eukaryota; Viridiplantae; Streptophyta; Magnoliopsida; Poales; Poaceae
Exons: 2
Source: RefSeq, a predicted model, not a curated record